This 729-nucleotide ribosomal RNA is filed under the name uncultured bacterium. RNAcentral's name for it is "partial 16S ribosomal RNA". The stretch from base 2 to 557 matches the Rfam family "Bacterial small subunit ribosomal RNA", at positions 9 to 546 of the family's 1533-position model. The record is from RNAcentral.
AGAGUUUGAUCCUGGCUCAGAAUGAACGCUGGCGGCGUGCUUUACACAUGCAAGUCGAGCGAGGCGUCCCGCAAGGGACAGUCGAGCGGCGAACGGGUGAGUAACGCGUGGAUGACCUGCCCUGAGGUGGGGAAUAACCCGGGGAAACUCGGGCUAAUACCGCAUAUGACCGUGAGGUCAAAGAGGGGUCGCAAGAUCUCUUGCCACAGGAGGGGUCCGCGUUCGAUUAGCUAGUUGGCAGGGNUAAUGGCCUACCAAGGNCGACGAUCGAUAGCCGGCCUGAGAGGGUGAUCGGCCACACUGGAACUGANACACGGUCCAGACUCCUACGGGAGGCAGCAGUGGGGAAUUUUUGCGCAAUGGGCUAACGCCUGACGCAGCAACNCCGNGUGGAGGAUUNCNGGUCUUUGGAUNGUAAACUCCUGUUCGUCGGGGGAAAAAGGGACUCNANCUAAUACGUCGGGGGACUUGAUNUGUACCCCGCAGAGGGAAGCCCCGGGUUACCUCUGUGCCAGGCAGGCCGCGGGUAAUANCNGAGUGGGAGCCAGCNUCGAUUCGGAAUUAUCUGGGNCGUAAAGCGGCGCNGUANGGCGGGCGAUUCNNGGUGGCGGGGUGACAUCCCCUNCUGGCUCUAANCGAUGNAACUGCCCUGCACAGCACUNGNNUUGUUUCNAUUCCGGNCGAGAGUGUUNNAGUGCGAAAUUUCCGCNGUGGUUGGCNGGUUGANNU